RNAcentral lists this unclassified non-coding RNA (974 nucleotides) under Hevea brasiliensis (rubber tree). Lineage: Eukaryota; Viridiplantae; Streptophyta; Magnoliopsida; Malpighiales; Euphorbiaceae. The record is from RNAcentral.
AAUAAAAAGCAGUUCCUCAGUAGAACUUGAGAACCUGUGAUACAAAUAACCUCGAACCAGAAACAAGGACACAGAAAUUUAUUUCAGACACUCAAAUGGAAAUAUAACUAAGUUUGUAAAUCAAAUUGUUAAUAAAUUGAAUUGACAGUAACUGAGAUAUUAAUUGUGUCCUACGGAACUAUAGUUUAAUUGAAGCAUCACUAAUUAACAAAACUUUUCCGCCAUGAUGUAUGGAUCAAUAAAAUGUGAAUACAGCCCCUGCAAUUCAAAUAGCUUCUUUAGCUAAUAUAUACUAUCAAGCAUCAAAUUUCCCAAAUAUUAAAAUAGCCAUUGAAAACAGAAUUCAUUGUCUAUCUUUCAGCAUUAAAUUGUCAAAACCAUAAAAAUAAUAAUAACAAGCGACAGAAGCAGAUUGUUAGUAUUCCUGUCCUAAAAGCUUCAUGGUGUCAAGUUUUUCGCAAUGUUCUCUACUCCAUAGGUCUUAGCCAAAAAGAAGUUACGCUGGCAACUAUUCAAGCCUGCCUUAGCAGUUAGUAUAUUAAAAGCUCUGCCUUUUCUAUCAACCAGUAAUAAAUUAUUUUUUAAAUAAAUUUAGCGUGAAACCUAGAUUAACAUGAAAGGGUAAUGAUUCACAAAACAACAGAACAAGUUGCAUGAGCCAACUUCCAAAAAACGGUGAUUGAAGGUGAUCCUAAAAUCACAACAACAAUAAAGAAAUCAAUAUUCCAAAAUCAACUAACACCAAAAAUUCACUAUAAGGAUAAUGCUUCUGUGCAGGAAAAUGCAAAGUCAUGAUCAAUCCUUAUUUAUUUCAUAUUACAAAAAGGAUAGCCAUUAUCCAUAAAAAACAUAUGCAUGCAAACUUGGCAUCCCUUCUAUACCAUUCUUGUAUCUCAAUAACACUCAUAAAAAAAACUACAUAACUUGUCUAAUACAGAAAGCCAUAAUUUACAAGAACAUCCUAUAGAACUCUC